This 639-nucleotide long non-coding RNA is filed under the name Androctonus crassicauda. Lineage: Eukaryota; Metazoa; Arthropoda; Arachnida; Scorpiones; Buthidae. The record is from RNAcentral.
AUUCGUUGAACGCGGUUGUAUUUUCCGAUUUCCAGUAAAGAAUUAUAACAAUGCAAGUGGCCAUAAUGCUGUGAAGUGUGAAUUUUAUGAGGAAUUGGAUGAAAUUUUGGGAAUCAAAGAUAUUAUUACUAUUGUGACUUUUGAUAAUCUUAAGGAAAAUGAAAAUAUAUAAAAUUCAGAGGCUUCUCAAGAAACUACAUUGAUACUGUACUUCAAACUAUAUCUGAAAAUGAUACAGCUGACACACCAAUAUUUGAGCAUAUAAUUGACAAGCAUAUUAAUGAAAAAAAAAUCAACUCCAAGAAACACAAGAUUAAAGAAAAGAAAACAUCAACACCAACAAGAGUGGAUUGAAAGAUUUAUUGAAUAUGAUCAAGCAGAGAAACAAGUAGCUCAAUCACAAGAAGGAAUUUGGCAAGAAAUGAGAAUCCAGCAUGAGCAUGAAUUAGCUGAAAAAGAACAAGUAAUAAGAGAGGAAAAAAACAAAAAAUAGAAUUCUUUUUGAAAACAUGAAUCGGAGGGAACUUGAGCAUGAAGCAGCAAUGAUGAAAUAUUUACUGAUGUUAUGUUAUCUAUGAGAUUCUUCAACAAAAGGUACAGAUGAUUCAUGCAAGUGAUUCACAUUUAACAAAAAGUGUC